This 486-nucleotide ribosomal RNA is filed under the name uncultured bacterium. RNAcentral describes it as "partial 16S ribosomal RNA". It matches the Rfam family "Bacterial small subunit ribosomal RNA", at positions 30 to 507 of the family's 1533-position model. The record is from RNAcentral.
AUUGAACGCUGGCGGCAUGCCUUACACAUGCAAGUCGAACGGCAGCACGGGUGCUUGCACCUGGUGGCGAGUGGCGAACGGGUGAGUAAUACAUCGGAACAUGUCCUCUAGUGGGGGAUAGCCCGGCGAAAGCCGGAUUAAUACCGCAUACGAUCCACGGAUGAAAGCGGGGGCCCUUCGGGCCUCGCGCUAUAGGGUUGGCCGAUGGCUGAUUAGCUAGUUGGUGGGGUAAAGGCCUACCAAGGCGACGAUCAGUAGCUGGUCUGAGAGGACGACCAGCCACACUGGGACUGAGACACGGCCCAGACUCCUACGGGAGGCAGCAGUGGGGAAUUUUGGACAAUGGGCGAAAGCCUGAUCCAGCAAUGCCGCGUGUGUGAAGAAGGCCUUCGGGUUGUAAAGCACUUUUGUCCGGAAAGAAAUCCUUGACUCUAAUACAGUCGGGGGAUGACGGUACCGGAAGAAUAAGCACCGGCUAACUACGUG